UAUGCUACUGUUUCAUUCUGUAUGUGUGAGGGUUGAUGGCUUGUCUUAAAUUUUAUUUUGUCUUCUACCUUUUGUGAUACUUUUAAUAGGAGUUACUUUUAAAUAAAUCAGCUGUAGGAAGUUACAAAUGUAGAGACCCGACAAGGGGAAGUGUUAACCGAUGCUGUUCCACGGUAAAGAUCUCUUCCAGAUUGCCUAAAGAGACAGUGUUGGCAUGACUCGGACAAGUCUCUGACACCCUCUAAGGUUAAUUUCCUGUCCUGGGAGGCCAGGGGUAGGAAUAAUUCUCCGGGGUGCAAUCUAAGAAGAAAAGACAAGCAUCAGUGUUUUAAAGGAGCUCCAUUAUCAUACACAAGCUAGCUGCAUCCUGGGAAGACUUUGCUGGCCUGAGGACUUUUAAAACUGGUCUGCACCAUAACUUGAAGCUAAGUUAUUUUCCAGGAAGUUUCUUGAACCUUAAUGAAGACAGGCUCCUGGACAGUUUACCCACCAAGAUAUGUCUGGAUUAUUUGGUGAACAGAAAGUCAACUGAGAAAGCUCUGCCCCUACCACAGCAGGAAAGCUGUUUUAAUGACCUCAAGUUUUAAAUGUCAGAUGGUGAAAGUCGAAGACUUUCAAAGACUGGACCAUGAUCCAGUGAGGGCUUCCCCCCCACUUCCCUUUUCUGCCACAAAGAAUGGAAGUUUGUAUAAGAAGUGCAUCAUUCUCUAAACCAAACAGCAAAAAGAGAAACAAAAUGCAGAAGAAAAGAGGGAAUAUCACCUCUGCGGCCAAGAUCUUCGAAAGCUGAUAAAAAAAAAAUACUGACAAAACCGGCAAACAGUGAUCACGUGGUUCCACUGUAGGCCAUUGGCACAUGGAUGUGACAACAAUCGGGCCGCCUCUGGAGGUGUUCCAGGACCCAGAAUCUCCUCUCUCGUAUACCACAGGAGUAGGAGAAGCAUUAGCGAAUUCACUGGAAAGAUUGAGUUACUACUUUCUGUUGUCAAUGGCUUCUUGAAGGUCACGGCUGAGUUCACGGGAAAAGUGGCACAUUGGCUGUGAAUUUAUUACUGAUAUAAUUUCCAUCCCUGUCUGCGCGUGGCCUUCAUUGGCAGGUGACUCAUGGAGGUGUUCGGUGUGGGUGACAAAUUAUUUGGUUCCCCUACUUCUCACCCUCCCCCUGCCCUCUUUCCUCGAGUCAGCCUAGAAAAGACAAACUUCUUCGGGGCUUCGACCUUCUUUACCUGGGAAGCUUAGGUAAGCUUCAGAAAGGUCUGUACUGAUACUGUAUAACUUCAUGUAUAAAAAAAAUGGUAAAACAAACAAAACUCAUCCCCAGCGUUAGAAGUGAGGAUAGUGGUUUUCUUUAGGGGCUUCCAAUGCUUGGGCUGGGACACACGGGGCACUCCUGGGAUGGUGGAAAUAUUCUGCUUCUUUAGCUGAGUGUUGGUUACACAGGUAUGUUCAUUUGUGAAAAUUCAUCACAUGGCAACACUUAUCCCAUUUUCUGUAUGCAUGUUAUACCUCCAUAAAAAUUUUUUUUAAAGGGAAGGCUACAUUAUAACUAGUACAGAACUGCAAAAUAUCAAUACUUCUCCUUAUUAAUUAAUACGAUCGCCUUCAUUGAAGAAUUCUUGUCAAGCACCCACCAAGUGCUGCAAUAUACAGAACAGCCAAGAGAUCUGGUGUCUCUCUUCUCGGAGACAUAUGCUGUUCUUGUUUUAUUAAGAAAAUGUGUGUUGCCAAUCACCAAAUACAAUGCAGUCGUGUGUAUUCUAUAAUUCUUCCGACGACUCUGUGACCUAGGUGGGUGGUUUCUCAUGUUACAGGUGAGAAAAGCUGUCACAGAGCUGAUGAAAAGUGGACUGAGUUUACAUACAGGCUGAACUUGCUCAUAGUAAAUUGAAAAAUCAGUAGGAUUUUCAGCUGUCUUGAUGAUGACAGAAGCAGAUUAAAUGUAUGGCCCAUCUUAUUGAUUGGGCAGAAAUCAAGUAAGAAAGCUUAAAACAAGGCAAAAUUAAACUACAACUAGAACAUAAACAAUUUUGUGGCUUUAAGUAAAAAAGACCACAGACUCAGUAGCUGAAUUGAGAUGAAGAUCGAUAGUUUUUGUGUUUCCAGAAGGCAUUAUCAAAUUCCAGGCUCCGUGAGGAUCUCAGUCUCAGAUUAAGAGAAUUUGCCGAGGGCUCAACACAAGUCCUGCCUGUAUUUGAGCUCCGUUCUCCUAGCCCAGGGCAGAGGUGGGCCAGCAUGGAACCUUCCCAGAGAGUCCUUAAUGACUGUCCCCAUCUCCUUUCCAUUCUACUCCCACUAAGCACGACCAAGACAGAAGUGUCUUGCCUUUUUGGAUGCAGCCGACGUGGGCAAAUUAAGUGAAUUAAUUUUCCUUAUUACAGGUAAUAAAUAAAUCUUAUGGUGAAAUAAAUCAUAUAUGUAAUACUGGACUAAAAAAAAAACGUGGCUCAAAACACACAAAGGUGGGUAAAAACAGAAACUAACCAAAAUAGAGAAUGUCAGAGAGUUAUCUAUUCGAACAAAAAUAAAGCAGCAAAAUCCUGGGGCCUCUGGUACCGUACUGAAGUGAGUUUUAGCUACUCACGCUAUGUUAACUGUUGAUGAAAUGUCACUGAGUUAAAAUAAAAUAAGUCUGUAGUCCCAGAUACUACUCUACAAGAUCAAAUGAUGUUAGGCCACUAUACCCAGUUAUAUGAAGAAAUAACUCAUAGCAAUGUACCAAUAUGUCAAGAUUUUUCACAGGAAGCGAUAUGAAAACUAGCUGGAUGGUGUCAGGCUUGUUUAAAAGCUCAUUUGCUCCCCUUUGUCACUGUCCUUUCACCUUUCUAUGUCAUAUAUCCUGGUCUCUUGUCGAUGUGGUUGUCAAAGUACCAGCUUAAUAGUGCUUCUCCCUCCACAGAGAUGUGUUAAAUGUAAAGAUGGCCAAGUUCCCUGCCGAAAGGGAAAUGCAAAGGACUGGAGCCAGCUGAAGUCAUGAGCUAUCUGGUGACAAUAAGACUGUGUCAUUUUAUGACACGUCUCCCCGAGGUACCAAUGAACUUUACACGGUGGUUUUUUUUUUUUUUCUGCUUUAUUAUUCUGACAUCCUGGGGAAAAGAAAAGAGAGAGGACGAAGAAAGACAUUUCCAUUCUACACAAAGGAAGGUUGGGCUCAAAGAAGUUAAAUGAAUUGCUCUGGAUCACUUUAGUUUUUGGGAUUUCCUGGUUUCCGUAAACAACCACCAAUCUGCCUGCACCUCUCACACAUGCAAGCACACACCUCUCUGCACAGCCCCACGGCACUCUGCGCUCAGAGGAGCAGAGUUCAUGUCUGUGCUGGGAGCGGGGUGUCUGAGGUCAAGGAGGACGCUCAGAGCUUCCUGCCACCUGAAACGCCUCACAACACAGAUCAUGCACGCCAUCCCCUCCUGGUUCUGUGAGACAGUGUUUGUUGCAUUAAACUCAACCUGUUUGGGGUCCUUUUCCACCUCCUGAGAUUUCACAUCUACAAGAUCCAAUUAGCGUCCCCAAGUCAUAGGAGGCUGUCCAACGAGACGACUCACUUUCCAGCUUUUGAGUUGCAAAACCCGAGUUGAACUUCUAGUUCUGCUCACUUCACUGAAGAGAAGAUCUGUGUCUGUCUUAUUCUGUCAAAUGAUCAAGUUGAGUAACCUCUUGGGGCUUCCGAUUUCUUAUCUAAAGGGUAUUUUGGAGAGCUAAUUUUAUUUUACUUUUUUAAGGGCUGACUAAUUUUAAACAGCCUAACACAGGAGUUGUCAAAGUACGGUGUAGUGCGCCUGCUAUCGAUUUGUGGAAAUAAAGUUUUACUAGAACACGA
Molecule: non-coding RNA, 3814 nt
Organism: Callorhinus ursinus (northern fur seal)
Lineage: Eukaryota; Metazoa; Chordata; Mammalia; Carnivora; Otariidae
Source: RefSeq, a predicted model, not a curated record